RNAcentral lists this ribosomal RNA (253 nucleotides) under uncultured bacterium. RNAcentral's name for it is "partial 16S ribosomal RNA". It matches the Rfam family "Bacterial small subunit ribosomal RNA", at positions 524 to 776 of the family's 1533-position model. The record is from RNAcentral.
UACGGAGGGUGCAAGCGUUAUCCGGAUUCACUGGGUUUAAAGGGUGCGUAGGUGGGCAGGUAAGUCAGUGGUGAAAUCUCCGAGCUUAACUCGGAAACUGCCAUUGAUACUAUCUGUCUUGAAUACCGUGGAGGUCAGCGGAAUACGUCAUGUAGCGGUGAAAUGCUUAGAUAUGACAUAGAACACCAAUUGCGAAGGCAGCUGGCUACACGAAUAUUGACACUGAUGCACGAAAGCGUGGGGAUCAAACAGG